This is a transfer RNA of Trichoderma reesei QM6a, 101 nucleotides long. It matches the Rfam family "tRNA". Rfam says of the family: Transfer RNA (tRNA) molecules are approximately 80 nucleotides in length. Their secondary structure includes four short double-helical elements and three loops (D, anti-codon, and T loops). Further hydrogen bonds mediate the characteristic L-shaped molecular structure. tRNAs have two regions of fundamental functional importance: the anti-codon, which is responsible for specific mRNA codon recognition, and the 3' end, to which the tRNAs corresponding amino acid is attached (by aminoacyl-tRNA synthetases). tRNAs cope with the degeneracy of the genetic code in two manners: having more than one tRNA (with a specific anti-codon) for a particular amino acid; and 'wobble' base-pairing, i.e. permitting non-standard base-pairing at the 3rd anti-codon position. The record is from Rfam. NCBI's taxonomy places the organism in Eukaryota, Fungi, Ascomycota, Sordariomycetes, Hypocreales, Hypocreaceae.
GCUUCCGUAGCUCAGUUGGUUAGAGCUUCGUACUAAUACUUCCGGCCUUGUGCCAAGUGUUGGUAAUGCGAAGGUCGCAGGUUCAAGCCCUGCCGGGAGCA